UGUGUGGAGGCCAGGAGGUGAGGAUGAAGGAGGCAGGCAGGUGGAGAGCGAAGCCCAUGGGACCUGAAGGUGCUUGGGUUCAAAUCCCACUCCUGCCAGCUGUGGACUCUGGGUAAAUGGUCUCCUUUAUACAAGCCUCAGUUUGCUCCUCUGUAAAAGGGGGCGAAUAGCACAUAGCUUGUGAGUUUCUUGUAAAAACAAAAAAGGCAGCAACAUGUUUCUUGGCGUGGGCUGGCGUGUUUCUUGGUGUGGGCUGUGUGGACUGGGAUCAGCUGGAAUGCUGCAGGGGAGGCCUAGGAGUUCCAGCCCCCGGGUAAUUCUGGCUGGCUGUGUGACCCUGGUCAAAGCCCUCAACCUCUCUGAGCCCUGCUCAAAGAUAACAGUUCUGCCCAUUUCAUGAGGGUGAGAUGGAGAUAACAGUUCUGCCCAUUUCAUGCGGGUGCAGGUGAGGACUCAGGACAAUAGGCGCCUCGUGGGCCUGGAUAUCAAGACCUGGUUCUCUCCCUCCACGCGGGACAUCGGUCAGGCUGCCCACACCAAGCUGGGUCCCUCCUCUCUAGGCUUGCUUCUUCCUUUCUCCUCAGCAGUAUCUUCCCCGUGAGCCUAUGUGAAUACAGCCAAGCUCGGUGGACUGGAGCAACGGGCCGGGAUGAGCUUGGGAUGGACGUCAUGGAUCAUGCUUGUCAGUGACGCCAUUCCACCCCCUGGGUAUGACUCAGCCGUUAGGAUAUGAUUUCCCAUCCCAUGGAGGGUCCUUGUACCCUCCCAGUGGGACUAUCCUGACCCCCCUAUCCCACCACUGGAUGAAAAGACCUUUCAGCUGGCCCCUACCCCAGUGCUCAGGGGGGACUGUAGUCGUGAUGAAGGGCAAUGAUUUGUGGAACCUCCAGUCGCCUGUGUCAUCAGGGCUGGUGGCACAUCGGAGAGGAAGUCAUCCAGAGCUCUGUCUGCAUGCAUGUGGCCCAUUUGUCCUCAUGAAAUAUUUCAUAGUAAUAACCCCAAUCUGGCUCCGCCACCCACAGUGUAUCUGACCUGUGAUGUCACUGCAUCUCCCCUUCAGUUUCCCAGGCUGUAGAACAAGUGCCGGAAGAGAUCCAUUUUUUUCCUUCACUGAUUCCCGCAUUUGGUCAUUCCACAAACGCGUGUUGAAGCACCUGCCAGGUGUACCUGCCGGGAAACCCAGCUGUGGACGCCUGGUGAGGUCCUGGCCCUCACAGCUGGGCCAUUCCAGUGGGGGGACAGUCAACAGACAAGCAGGAAACAUAAUGACAGCUCCUCCCUGAAGGGCGCCUAGGGAUGAAAGGAGAUGAGCUUUGUCUGGUGCCGGCACCUGGAACGUGCUCAAAAUAUGUUAACAAGGACGAGAAGGACUCAACCCUGGAGAGAUUUGCCUAUUCUGGACAUUUCACGUCAACAGAAUCAUGCAAUAUGUGACCUUUCGUGUUUGGCUAUUUUCACUGCCCAUGAUGUUUUUAAGACUCAUCCACGUCAUAGCAUGAAGCCGACUUCAUUCCUUUUAUGACUGAAUAAUAUUCCAU
Molecule: non-coding RNA, 1538 nt
Organism: Odocoileus virginianus texanus
Lineage: Eukaryota; Metazoa; Chordata; Mammalia; Artiodactyla; Cervidae
Source: RefSeq, a predicted model, not a curated record